Molecule: non-coding RNA, 31 nt
Filed under: Rattus norvegicus (Norway rat)
Lineage: Eukaryota; Metazoa; Chordata; Mammalia; Rodentia; Muridae
Source: RNAcentral
AGCCAUCUUUAGGUUUGCUAAUGAGCUCAGC